Molecule: non-coding RNA, 130 nt
Filed under: Frankia canadensis
Lineage: Bacteria; Bacillati; Actinomycetota; Actinomycetes; Frankiales; Frankiaceae
Description: FMN riboswitch aptamer (RFN element)
Rfam family: FMN riboswitch aptamer (RFN element)
About the family: The RFN element is a highly conserved domain that is found frequently in the 5'-untranslated regions of prokaryotic mRNAs that encode for flavin mononucleotide (FMN) biosynthesis and transport proteins. This element is a metabolite-dependent riboswitch that directly binds FMN in the absence of proteins.
Source: Rfam by way of RNAcentral
ACGCGCGCUCCGGGGUCGGUGAAAGUCCGAACCGGCGGUGACAGUCCGCGACCCGCCCGCAGGUACUGGGGCGGUUGACCCGGUGGAACUCCGGGACCGACGGUGAAAGUCCGGAUGGGAGGACGCGCGC